AUGGAGCACGGGGACGGACCCGGCGGUCCAGACCCUGGCGGGCAGCAGCGGGAGGAGGAGAUCAGUGACUCCGAAUCAGGCUCUGAAUCGCUCGAGAUCUCCGACCUCAAGAAGCGCAUGUGGAAGGACCAGAUGCUGUUGACGAGGCUCGAGGGCCGCACCGGCGCCAAGGGCGUGGCGCCGGCUCCAGCUGCCGGCGCAUCUUCCUCGUCGUCGUCGGGCCAAGAGGAGCCUCCCGACGUGCGGUGCCGCCGCAAGGCCAUGCUGCGCGCGCAGGACGGCGUGCUCCGGCACAUGCUCAGGAUGAUGGAGGCCUGCAACGCGCGCGGGUUCGUGUACGGCGUCAUCGACGAGGCCGGCGAGCCCAUGUCCGGCUCCUCCGACAGCCUCCGCGGCUGGUGGAAGGAGAACGUGAGCUUCGACCGCGCUGGCCCCAUGGGCCUGGCCGGCCCCAUGGGCGAGAGCCCGAUCGCCCUGGCCUCCUCCCUCCAUCGUCUCCAAGACAUCCAAGACAGCACGCUCGGAUCCGUGCUCUCUGCGCUCAUCCAGCACUGCGAGCCGCCGCAGAGGAGCUUCCCGCUGGAGCGCGGCCUGGCGCCGCCGUGGUGGCCGACGGGGCACGAGCCCUGGUGGGGCACGCAGGGCGAGAUGCAGGCCCACCAGGGCGUGCCACCGUACCGGAAGCCGCACGACCUAAAGAAGGCGUGGAAGAUCUCCCUGCUGAGCGCGGUGAUCAAGCACAUGAGCCCGCGCUUCGACCAGAUGCGCAAGCUCGUGUGGCAGUCCAAGCGGCUGCAGCAGAAGAUGAGCGCCAAGGAGUCCGAGACCUGGUCCAAGGUGCUUAGGCAGGAGGAGGCGCUCAGCAGCCGGCUAAAGAGCUCGCUGCGGAUCACGCCGUUCGAUCAGGAGGAGGAGGAAGAGGAGGAGGAGGAGGUGAAGAAGAAGAAGGUUGGGAAGGAGAGGGACGACGAUGGUCUGGAGAGCGUUGUGCGCGGCGCGCAGGACAAACGCAAGCGCGAGAUCUCUCGCACCGGCAGCUCCGGUGGGAGCGGAUCAGAGCUGACCAUAAUGCCGCCGGAUCAGCUCGCUGCUGCAAUCACAGAGGAGAGCCGGAGCCCGAUCGACGAGCUCAUGAAGCUUUACUACGGCUGCAUGCAGGGGGUCGAAAGCUACGGUGACCGGGAAAAGGACGAUCUGACACCGAUGCAUUCCGUAGUGCUCGGAAACAUAGAUGAGGUGGCGCAGGAUGUGCUCUUUGAUAUCAUCGGGAGCUGCCCUGAAAUAGAUGAUGUGCUGCGCUUGAUGGGGGAGUGA
This 1314-nucleotide ribosomal RNA is filed under the name Triticum aestivum (bread wheat). RNAcentral describes it as "partial small subunit ribosomal RNA". Lineage: Eukaryota; Viridiplantae; Streptophyta; Magnoliopsida; Poales; Poaceae. The record is from RNAcentral.